This 460-nucleotide ribosomal RNA is filed under the name uncultured bacterium. RNAcentral describes it as "partial 16S ribosomal RNA". It matches the Rfam family "Bacterial small subunit ribosomal RNA", at positions 338 to 795 of the family's 1533-position model. The record is from RNAcentral.
CCUACGGGUGGCUGCAGUGAGGCAUAUUGGUCAAUGGACGCAAGUCUGAACCAGCCAUGCCGCGUGCAGGAUGACGGCUCUAUGAGUUGUAAACUGCUUUUGUACGAGGUUAAACCCCGAUACGUGUAUCGGGUUGCAAGUACCUUACGAAUAAGCAUCGGCUAACUCCGUUCCAGCAGCCGCGGUAAUACGGAGGAUCCGAGCGUUAUCCGGAUUUAUUGGGUUUCAAGGGUGCGUAGGCGGUUUGAUAAGUUAGAGUUGAAAUGGCGGGGACCAACCCCGAAACUGCCUCUAAUACUGUUGGACUAGAGAAUAGUUGCGGUAGGCGGAAUGUAUGGUGUAGCGGUGAAAUGCUUAGAGAUCAUACAGAACACCGAUUGCGAAGGCAGCUUACUAAACUAUAUCUGACGUUGAGGCACGAAAGCGUGGGUAGCAAACAGGAUUAGAUACCCCAGUAGUC